Long non-coding RNA from Lontra canadensis (Northern American river otter), 740 nucleotides. RefSeq lists it as uncharacterized. The transcript is spliced from 2 exons. Lineage: Eukaryota; Metazoa; Chordata; Mammalia; Carnivora; Mustelidae. The record is from RefSeq and is a predicted model, not a curated record.
CAGAAAUCCCGUUUUCAGCCACCUCAUCGGGCCUGCCAUUGUCGGGGCUGCCAGUGGCCCAGAGGGUGUGCGCCCUCCUGACCUGUGGGAAGGCAGGGUGUGGAGAGCCUCAUUAUGCCUGUUUUCACUAUCCAAUUCUAGCACAUUUCCAGACUACGAGAUUCAGUGCCAACAUGUCUUUCAACACCCAAGUGGUUAUCAACGAAGGUGAGGUUUUCCGUGAAGAGCAAAGGACCAUCCCGACUUUGGAGAGGCAGGGGAGUGCUCUGAGGCAGAGAUGAUGAAGGUGACAUUUUCCCGUAUGGUUACCAACACCUUGGGGACCUCUCGCCUUUCUUGAGACCCAGGGCUUAAAUCGGUUUUGAAUCCCACGGUGAUAAUGUAAAUGACCCUUCUUUGUCCUGCUCAGUUAUUCAUUUAGCCCUUUUCUGUGCUCCUGUCACCUCAAAGAAUGGGGGCACCUUGUCCCAGCACUGUGGAAGCCCUGAAGUUGACUCCUCAGCUCUGGGUGUUGACAUCUCCACAGCUUCACCCGCCAGAUCAAGGCUUUCUGCUUCCCAUCGCCUUUGGUGCUGUUUUCCUCAGAUUCCUGUGUCCUCCCUUUCUCUCUUUGUGCCUCCAUCACUCCCUUACUCUUCUCCAUCUUACUUUGAAUUGCUUUCCUUCCCUUUGAAGUCCCAGACCCCUACCCCUUCUCCUUAGUUUAGGAUAACAUAAAUACAUUCUUUUGCCUAACUGUC